This 250-nucleotide ribosomal RNA is filed under the name uncultured bacterium. RNAcentral describes it as "partial 16S ribosomal RNA". It matches the Rfam family "Bacterial small subunit ribosomal RNA", at positions 524 to 773 of the family's 1533-position model. RNAcentral also lists the same sequence under 1 other name. The record is from RNAcentral.
UACGGAGGGUGCAAGCGUUGUUCGGAAUUAUUGGGUUUAAAGGGUGCGUAGGCGGCUAUUUAAGUCUGAUGUGAAAGCCCGGGGCUCAACCCCGGAAGUGCAUUGGAAACUGGAUAGCUUGAGUACGGGAGAGGGUAGUGGAAUUUCGAGUGUAGGGGUGAAAUCCGUAGAUAUACGAAGGAACACCAGUGGCGAAGGCGGCUACCUGGACCGAUACUGACGCUGAGACGCGAAAGCGUGGGGAGCAAAC